RNAcentral lists this ribosomal RNA (472 nucleotides) under uncultured bacterium. RNAcentral describes it as "bacterial SSU rRNA". It matches the Rfam family "Bacterial small subunit ribosomal RNA", at positions 19 to 518 of the family's 1533-position model. The record is from RNAcentral.
CUGGCUCAGAACGAACGCUGCGGCAUGGAUAGGCAUGCAAGUCGAACGGAGCAGCAAUGCUCCAGUGGCGCAAGGGUGAGGAACACGUGAACAACCUGCCUUCGAUUGGGGAUAGCUUCUGGAAACGGGAGAUAAUACCGAAUAACAUCACCGGAUCGCAUGAUCUGAUGAUCAAAGCAACAAUGCGCUUGAAGAGGGGUUCGCGUCCCAUUAGCUAGUUGGUGAGGUAACGGCCCACCAAGGCGAUGAUGGGUAGCUGGUCUGAGAGGACGAUCAGCCACAUUGGGACUGAGAUACUGCCCAGACUCCUACGGGAGGCUGCAGUCGAGAAUUUUGGGCAAUGGACGAAAGUCUGACCCAGCCAAUGCCGCGUGCGGGAUGAAGGUCUUCGGAUUGUAAACCGCUGUCAAGAGGGACGAAAUUUGACGGUACCUCUGGAGGAAGCCACGGCUAACUACGUGCCAGCAGCAGC